Nicotiana tabacum (common tobacco) is the source of this 5280-nucleotide non-coding RNA. The record is from RefSeq and is a predicted model, not a curated record. Lineage: Eukaryota; Viridiplantae; Streptophyta; Magnoliopsida; Solanales; Solanaceae.
CAUGAACUUUAAAAUAAAAGUAAUUUAUUUUAAUUUUACUUUUCCUUUGUGUCUGAGAUUGUGAUCAUCAUAUCAUGCCUUCUUUUAAUUGCUUUCUUGUGCGAUCAUUGAACUAUAUACUGAAGGAACCAUGCGUUGUUAUUUUCUAGUACUUUGAAUGAUUUUACACUUCUGGUGUUUUUUUUGCUAAUGUUGACUUGAAUUGGGUUAACAGAGCUCCUGUUAAUUAGCUAUUUGUCUGACAAGUCUAACAGAUGGAUCAACAAUAUGUAUAAAUUUGUGGUAAAUUAGAACUAAUAUAUAUACACUUUAGUAGUGGUGGAGCAACGAUUUUCACUAAGAGCUAUCAAAAUAUAUAAAAAAAACAUAAAAAAAUAAAGGGGAUUCGACUUUAUAUAGUAUUAAUACAUGAAAGAAACUUUUGUCUAGCUAUACUAGUGAAAUUUUCUAGUGUUGGUAACUUGGUUAAAGGUGGCUCCGCCACUACACUUUACAACAACAACAAACUAAGUGUAAUCCCACAGGUGAAGGCUGUUUCCGAUAGUCCCUUGUCUCGAGGAACAGUAAAAAUAACGCAAAUGCCACUACACUUUAGGGUAUUACUAAUAAUGCAUUGACUAUAGUAUGUUGUAUGGCCUCUAGAAUAUUUUGCUUCUUCCCUCUCCCGUCAUGUGGUAUUGUUCACUUUUUUCUGAAAAUUAUGAUGCAUGUUUGAUAUAAGUGAUACUAUUGGUUUAUUACAAGAUUAAGGCCAGUGUAAGUUGCUUCUGUUGUAGCCUAACUUGGCUUCUCUGAAGUUUUAACUAGCUAGAAUAAAUCGGUAAAAGCGAAAGCCAUAUAUUUUCUUGACAGACUUAAAGUUUUAUAUGCAGAAAAGUGUAAUUUUUUUUUUUUUACAGUAUUAGGUCUUUUAAAAGCCAACUACAUGGAAGUUGUCUAUAAUAAGCAUGCUCAGUGGCAUGUUAAUGAUGGUAACCUGUUUAACUAGAACUACAUUUAUAAUGUAAAAAGUAAUUGUUGUUGGUGUAUAUAACUUAAAUUCUUCUUUGAUUGAGCUUUUGAACAUUUAAUACCAUUAUUUUCACUAUCAUUCCCAUGUAUUUAUCUGUGUUUCCAUGUUUAGGGGCCUCGGGUUGGUGGGAGUUAUUUUUGAUACUAGGCUUACUCUUCUGUUUACCUUAAGGUGUUUCAUCUGAAAGGUGAUUAGUAGACUCAAAUGACGGGUAAACAAUUGGACUGGCAUGACUGGGAAAUGCUUUCUAGAAUUUUUACUGUGAGAUUGGGGCUUGAUACUCUGACAAUGAUUGGUUUUGUUAAAAAUGGAUUAAAAUGUUAACUUUUAGGACUGGCUGCUUCCCACUCUAACUUUCCAAAUCUGUUUCUUACUUUCAAACCAUAAAGAAGAAAAAGAAAGGUUAAAUUUUAGGCCUGCAUUAUUAAUGUUUGAGAUAAUUUAUAAAUUCCUUCUAGCAGAACAAAAGAAAGAAAUCUCAUGCUUGGAAGAUUACAUUAAACAAUGCAGAGAUUGUUUAUAAGUUAAACAUGUACUGAUAAAUAGUCUCCAUUUUGUUGGCUUUGUAAAGCAAGAAAUGAGUUUACUUUUGCCGGGAAGAGUACUUAACUUUUGCUACUUAAAAUGAGAAGGUUUCAUUUUGGCAACUGACUUAAAUAGUGUCACGGGUUCGAACUGUGGAAUCAGCCAUCGAUGUUCGUAUCAGGGCAGGCUGCCUACAUCACACCCCCUUGGGGUGCGGCCCUUCUCCGGACCUUGCGUAAAUGCGGGAUGCUUUGUGUACUGGAGUGCUCUUUUUUGUAGAGUGUGAUGCACUUGCUCCACUCCACUGUUAUCAGUGGCGCGCUUAAGCCCUAACUGAAAACACUUUGAGCGCUUCGCCUCGUUUAGCGGACGCUUUAGUGUUGUCAUCAAAGCUCUAAGACAUAUUUUUCCUUGCUAAUGAACGUAAUCCUGAAGAGGCGACAUUAAACAAUUGAUAUUUCACUUUAUUGUAAAUUUUCUUUAAUUUCUUUGUCCAUAUAGUUGGUAUUCAUGCUUAUAAUUUUAGUCUUGGACUACACAUACAUAUUUGUAGUUUUUCUCUACUGUGUCUUUCUUCAUUAAAGCCCACGCUUUAUUUGCUCUUUGAGCUUAAAGCCCCAACAAACCUUAGAGCUUUUUUACGCUUUUCGCCUUUGCUAACACUGCUACACUUCUUUAGUACUUUAGAAGGUGACAAUUUCUUUCUUCUGUUCUUCCUGUUAUUUGAUACUGAUUUUAGAGAGGAUUCAUUUAGGGGUCUGUUUUUCUUUCUUUUGUUGCUCAAUUGUGUCUCAUUUAGUUAGUUUCAUAAUUUUCCAUUGAAAACCUCUGAUUCAUUGAUUGGUUUUCACUUACCUAAUUCAACUGUACGUCUUUGCUCAUUUCAAGGUCCAAUGUUUAGAUGACUCCCCGCAGCAUGAGCGGGAGUAUCAAGCUAUGAACUUAUCAUCAUAGGUAACUAAGUUGAACUUUUUUAGUGCCAUGGGUUCUGGUUACAUUCGCUUGUCCUAUCUGCUCAUUUAUGUUUUGUUUGGGAGGUAAGAAGCAAAGAAAAAUGAAGGGACAAGAACAAUUCUUUUCACUAGACCAAAGCCCGUGUUGGGGUUGUGAUGGUUCCAGAAAACUACUAGUACUAUCUUAGGAGUUUCCUUAUUCUUUGUCAUAAAAGACUGGCAAUCUUGAUGCCUGAGCAGCUAUCGUGUGGAUCCGGGAUGAUGUAUUCUAGUAUUUUAAGCCUCAUGUCAUCUCUAAUAUAUGCGUAGUCUGCUAGACAUGUUAGUGGCUCGCCAAGAUUUACUGAUGUGUUCACUGAGGCACAAGUUUAAAAUGGAGAGGUGCUGCUUAAUAAUGAUUGAUUUGCCGUAUUCUGGGUAGAGCUCUGUAAUCGGGUCUGUUUGUGAUUUAAAUUGAAGUGUGACCUUGAAUUUAGUUUGCUUAGAUUUUUAUUGUCAGAUUAUAUUUGUUCAAUUUCAUCACAAACACAUAUUCCUUUAUGUGAAUGCAAAUAUGGAACAGGAUGGAUAUAGUCAGACGUAUGCAACCUUAUCUUCGGAUGUUUCUUGCAAAUGUCCAUUUUCAUUCUUUAAUCCUAUCAUAUCUAAAGUUUGGUCCCUAAGUCAUCCUUCUCUGUCGCGUUCUCUCUAUCAGAAAUUAUUAAAUAGGGAAGGUCAGGAUUGGUAUAUGAACUCAUACAAGGACAACCAGUUAAAUAGUUGGUAUUCCUGACUUAUCCUUCUUAAUUUAUUGAGUAAUUUUCACAUCUUCUCAGUUAGCAAACGGCUGUGAAGCCAUUCUUUCGCUUAAAGACGAUAAUGGUCCUUGUAGUUUAUUCUUCAACAAUUUUCCUUUGUAGUUUUUCCUUGUAAAAACCUCGUGACAAGGGCAUAUUUUUGUCAUUGUGGAGACAAAAGCCAAGGUUAGGUAAGGGGGGAAUGACAAGCAUUAAGUUCCAUAUGGAAAGAACAAACAACUGAUGGAGUUUUCUAUGUAAAACUAUGAGUUAAGCAGAUUGCUGAAACUUUGUUCUGGAAAUUCUUUCUUGUCAUUUUUGUAAUCCUCUGGCCCACCCUCCCAAACAUUGAACGAAUAACGAAAUACUGGCAUGAAGUUUUUUUCCUUUUAAAAUGUUUUUCCAUUUGGCUGCAGAAUUAUUUUAGAGCUUUCUGAUUGCAUAGGAUUUACGUCAUGAGGGACAGGUGGCCAAGAGGUAAAAAGUGGCUUAAAUUGUCAUCUGUAGAAACAAUUGCUCUUGAACAGCUGAGACGAAGCACAACAUCAAGGGAAACAAAACAAGAAAUGGAAAAUAAUUUAGAGACCAAGGGAACUUGGCUUCCUUAUGACUUGCUUUUUAAGGUUUUUCUUCUACUUCCAGCUGAAACUCUCUGCAGACUCCGUUGCGUAUGCAGGACACUUCUUAACAUGAUCAACAGUCCGGCUUUUGUUGAAGCUCACUUUCGUCAAUCUGAGACAGUUCUAAUUACUCAGAAGUCCUUUCGCGAGGAAAACAUACGGUCACCUUUUCCACUACCUUCAGAUAAGCCAAAUCAAUGUUACUUCCAUUUCUGGGACAUCCAUAGCGGUAAAGGCCACAAAGUUUGUAUGCCAAAUUUGAGGAACUUAGAGUGUGUUUUGGCUGCCUGCAACGGUUUGGUCCUGGCUAGAAUUAAGAAAAACGGAGGUCUAGUAGUUGUAAAUCCAAGUACAAGGAACCACAUUAGAAUGCCUCUUGGUACAAUUGGUUUCGCGCAGGAGUGCUACGGGUUCAUGUUCAGCCACUUCACAGGUGCUUAUAAAGUAGUACACUUGUUCCGCGACGAACAUAGACACAUCCGCUGUGAGAUCCUGAACCUUACUACAAGAUCAUGGCAUGCAGUGGAUGGACCUAAUUCAGGAGAAUUCGGAUCAAUCAGUACCACUCGUAGAUCUGUUUCAGCAGUUGGAGCUUUGUAUUGGCUUCCAAAAAGGGACAGUUGUAACCAUGCUGUGUCUUUGGGAUUUCAUGAUGAGAAGUUCCAAACUGUACCUCUACCAAUCAACAGCACAAAAAACGAUCGUCUUGUUGAGAUUGGAGGCACCCUGAGCUUCAUAACUCAUGCGACGUUGAAUUUGAUUCAGGUAUGGAUCUUGAAGGACGGCUUAAGGGAAAAUUGGAUAAAGAGAUAUAGCAUCAAUAGGUUCUAUGAUAUCACAGGAUUUGUUCCACUUUGUGCUUCGACAACGGAAAUAUUUUUCAAGAGAAGAGGAAACCCUUUGUUACAUAUAUACAAUAUUGAAGCUGAAGAAAUGCAGGAGGUUAAUGUUGGAGAUGUGCAAAUUUACAUGCCUCAUGUAAAGUCACUUGUUUCAUGGGAUAGUCCUCAAGUUGUAUAUUUGUUUGAACAUUUCGAGGUGAUUUUACCUGCAUGCUCCGUGGAUGAGUUAGUUACCAUGCUAUUGAGGUUUUGUUAAGCUCCAGGAUUUAAUUCGAGUUUUGUAAUGGGAGUUUAACGAAGGAGGUGAACUUGUAAGGUACACACUCUUGAGUCUCAAUGUUUGUGAAGUUGAUUUGAAGAAUGAAAUGAAAGACAGAAUUUAAAGCUUAGCAUUCGCUUGUUCUGUUGAUUCAGUAGUGUUAUUUUGAUUUCGUUUUCUUGACUUGAUGUGUUAUAUUGUUCAAUUGAGUUCUAUCUUGAACAAGUGAGAUUUUACUAUUGUGUUUAAUUUGGGACUGUCAUGAAACUGGAAGAAUGAUUUGCUUGGUUGAA